RNAcentral lists this ribosomal RNA (300 nucleotides) under uncultured Microvirga sp. RNAcentral's name for it is "bacterial SSU rRNA". It matches the Rfam family "Bacterial small subunit ribosomal RNA", at positions 496 to 795 of the family's 1533-position model. Lineage: Bacteria; Pseudomonadati; Pseudomonadota; Alphaproteobacteria; Hyphomicrobiales; Methylobacteriaceae. The record is from RNAcentral.
GAUAAAGUCGUGCAAGAUGGAGGGGAAAUACGAGCGGGGAAAGACUUAAUCGUAAUACCUGGGCAGAAAGCGCACGCAAGCGUUAAAUGAAGUCAGAUGUGAAAGCCCCGAGCUUAACUUGGGAAUUGCAUCGGAAACUGGUUGGCUAGAGUCUUGUAGAGGGGGGGAGAAUUCCAGGUGUAGCGGUGAAAUGCGUAGAGAUGUGGAGGAAUACCGGUGGCGAAGGCGGCCCCCUGGACAAAGACUGACGCUCAGGUGCGAAAGCGUGGGGAGCAAACAGGAUUAGAUACCCGUGUAGUC